RNAcentral lists this long non-coding RNA (1037 nucleotides) under Sus scrofa (pig). RNAcentral's name for it is "lncRNA (ENSSSCG00055006634.1, ENSSSCG00065027970.1)". The record is from RNAcentral. Lineage: Eukaryota; Metazoa; Chordata; Mammalia; Artiodactyla; Suidae.
UCUCAUCUUGGCUUUUCUUUCUAGCUGUGGGAUAUAUCAUGAUCUGCUUCCAGACUUGCAGUGGGGAAGAAGAUGCUUUUUCCAAGGUUCUUCUCCAUUGAACUAAGCAGAGAAGUGAUUCACUUGCUAGCACCUGAUGACUUCUGGGAUUCUUGCAAUUCUUUUCAACAUGGAGCAUAAGAUAGCUUCUAAGAACUGCCUAGAUUUUGCUUUGUUAAGAAAUGUAUGAGCUAUUCUGAGUUUUGGACCACUACUUCAACAUCUAGCAUCAAGGAGAAUGGUUAGGAAGAGAAGACAUAUACAUUGGGUAAGAGAUGAUUAAAAUAACAUAUAUAAAGUACAAGUCUUAACUGAAAUGCUAACAGUGCUAAUGGGAAGGAAGAAGUGACACAUUGCAAAGGGUCAGUUAUAAAUAUCUGGAUGGGUAUGUACGCAAAAGAUCAUGGUGAUAUUAUGAGUUUUUAUUUGAUGGCUAAGAAGUGGAUAAUAUAACUUUGGAUCCAUAAAGGAAGAGGAAAUAUAGAAUGUUGCCAAUACUACAAUCUGGUGACUAAAUACAAUAAUGAGAAAUAGGUGUGAUUUGAUACAAACAGAAAACCUUCCUAUUAAACCUGGAUGAAGGACUUGGAUUCUCUUACGUAUAAAGGAAGAGAAGGGGAUGGAAAUUUUUUGCUUAAAGUAGAAAAUUUUCAUUGCAGGAUGCCAUAGGUGGGCCAAUUUAACACAGUUGUUUAGGACAUAGUGUGGAUGAGGAUAAGGUGGUCAGUCAGUUCCAGCACAACAGGCUGCACUCCUUAUGUUACAAAUGAGUGCAUCCAUUAGUCACCAAGAGGACCAGGGAACAGAUGUUCUUGUCUGAUUGUAAAAAUGUCACUAUUACUGGGGAAACAUUAAGUGUAAGUUCUGUUUACUAUAUGUUUGUUCUCAGAAUGUCAGGAAGAGAAUGACCUCUUCUAGUAAAAAAUGAUCAAUUAUAGUAUAUAAAGAAAGAAAUAUCUAGUUUCUACGUAGUUAAAUAAAAUUCUCUAUUUUCCCCA